CCUACGGGGGGCUGCAGUGGGGAAUAUUGGACAAUGGGGGCAACCCUGAUCCAGCCAUGCCGCGUGUGUGAAGAAGGCCCUCGGGUUGUAAAGCACUUUCAGUGAGGAAGAACGCCUGGUGGUUAAUACCCAUCAGGAAAGACAUCACUCACAGAAGAAGCACCGGCUAACUCCGUGCCAGCAGCCGCGGUAAUACGGAGGGUGCGAGCGUUAAUCGGAAUUACUGGGCGUAAAGCGCGCGUAGGUGGCUUGAUAAGCCGGUUGUGAAAGCCCCGGGCUCAACCUGGGAACGGCAUCCGGAACUGUCAAGCUAGAGUGCAGGAGAGGAAGGUAGAAUUCCCGGUGUAGCGGUGGAAUGCGUAGAGAUCGGGAGGAAUACCAGUGGCGAAGGCGGCCUUCUGGACUGACACUGACACUGAGGUGCGAAAGCGUGGGUAGCAAACAGGAUUAGAUACCCCAGUAGUC
This 465-nucleotide ribosomal RNA is filed under the name Vreelandella stevensii. RNAcentral describes it as "partial 16S ribosomal RNA". It matches the Rfam family "Bacterial small subunit ribosomal RNA", at positions 338 to 795 of the family's 1533-position model. Lineage: Bacteria; Pseudomonadati; Pseudomonadota; Gammaproteobacteria; Oceanospirillales; Halomonadaceae. The record is from RNAcentral.